GACGAACGCUGGCGGCGUGCCUAAUACAUGCAAGUAGAACGCACAGUUUAUACCGUAGCUUGCUACACCAUAGACUGUGAGUUGCGAACGGGUGAGUAACGCGUAGGUAACCUGCCUGGUAGCGGGGGAUAACUAUUGGAAACGAUAGCUAAUACCGCAUAAUAUUAAUUAUUGCAUGAUAAUUAAUUGAAAGGUGCAAUUGCACCACUACCAGAUGGACCUGCGUUGUAUUAGCUAGUAGGUGAGGUAACGGCUCACCUAGGCGACGAUACAUAGCCGACCUGAGAGGGUGAUCGGCCACACUGGGACUGAGACACGGCCAGACUCCUACGGGAGGCAGCAGUAGGGAAUCUUCGGCAAUGGACGAAAGUCUGACCGAGCAACGCCGCGUGAGUGAAGAAGGUUUUCGGAUCGUAAAGCUCUGUUGUAAGAGAAGAACGGGUGUGAGAGUGGAAAGUUCACACUGUGACGGUAGCUUACCAGAAAGGGACGGCUAACUACGUG
Molecule: ribosomal RNA, 504 nt
Filed under: uncultured bacterium
Lineage: Bacteria
Description: partial 16S ribosomal RNA
Rfam family: Bacterial small subunit ribosomal RNA
Source: RNAcentral